GAACACAUAGCGAAGGCUGACAGAUUAUAUAUAUAUUCACGGCUUUGGCUUAAAGGUUGCUGGUUGACCAAUAAGUAAUACAAGAAGAAAUUGUCUUUUCUGGAAUUGUCCUUCUUUCCAGGUAUCAAUGGUGAGCAGAAGAGGAGCAGGGAUGAUGAAAGACCACACAUUCUCCAAAAGUCACUAAGCACUGUCCACAGAUCGAACAUUCAUAUUUUCAGAUAGUGUAAGU
RNAcentral lists this long non-coding RNA (232 nucleotides) under Papio anubis (olive baboon). RNAcentral's name for it is "lncRNA (ENSPANG00000045515.1)". Lineage: Eukaryota; Metazoa; Chordata; Mammalia; Primates; Cercopithecidae. The record is from RNAcentral.